CGCAACUUGUUGUCUGGCUGCACCUGAAUGCACCAAUGACAUUAGUUUGAUCUUUUGAUUGUAUUUCGUUUGGAUUUGAAGAAGCUUUGAAGACGAGCAGCUUUGUACCUUUGCGCCUAGAGCAGCAGAACACACACUCUCCUGGACCUGACAUGGACCUGGGCUUGGACCUGGACCUGGAUCCAGCUGUGUGUCUGGGAAGAGUAACCAGUCAAAGGAGCAUCCCCUUCAUUUCAGAUGAUCUGUAGGUGGAAGCAGCAGAGACCAGACUGUCCUGAACCCGGCUGUCUGUCCUUCAAGAGCGACCAGUCGAAGGAUGAAUUAAUUAAGUCUAAAGACAUCCGUCCAUCGGCUGACCAGAU
This is a long non-coding RNA of Acanthochromis polyacanthus (spiny chromis), 362 nucleotides long. RefSeq lists it as uncharacterized. Lineage: Eukaryota; Metazoa; Chordata; Actinopteri; Pomacentridae. The transcript is spliced from 3 exons. The record is from RefSeq and is a predicted model, not a curated record.